This is a long non-coding RNA of Loxodonta africana (African savanna elephant), 4724 nucleotides long. RefSeq lists it as uncharacterized. The transcript is spliced from 4 exons. NCBI's taxonomy places the organism in Eukaryota, Metazoa, Chordata, Mammalia, Proboscidea, Elephantidae. The record is from RefSeq and is a predicted model, not a curated record.
UUGAAGGCAUUGAUCUUAGUGAAACCCUAAACACAAACAAAAUGAAACAACGAUAACAACUAGUGAGCCAAUAAUGCAUCACAGUGAACGUGUAGGCUGGUCUGCUUUGUGUAUGGGGGGCUGAUGGCAGCAGCAUGAAGGGCUGUGGCUCAGUAAGUCUGCCUGUGGCUGGACAACACACAGGACCUGUGAAUACUGUGCAACACCACUUCCUGGAUCAUUAUUCCUCGCUAACUAUACAAUUCAUCGUUCAGGCUAAGUCGGUCUCCAGGGCGAGAAGUGGCUGGUCGAGCUAAUGAUAAAAAUAAGAAUAAAAUAAAUACAGAUAAAACCCUGACAACCACAUUAAUUAGCAGCUGUCACUUAGGGAGUGCCAGUCACUGUGCUAUGUGCUUUGCAUACCGUAUUGUAUCAAAACCUCACAGGACACCCAGCGAGAUGGGUUUAUCAUCACUUUACAGACAGGGGAACUGCAGUAUGGAUACACAGUGGAACCCAUCAGAGCUGGAACUCAACGGGAACCCACUGCUCUCCAGUCAAUUCUGACUCAUGGUGACCCUACAGGACAGAGCAGAACUGCCCCACAGGGUUUCCAAGGAGUGGCUCAUGGAUUCAAACUGCCGACCUUUUGAGUUCAUUUGGCAGAACUGACACUACCGAGCAAGCACCCUUACCCACGGGCUACUGGUAAUGUUCACGGAGGCAAGGCAGAAGGUAAGCCAUCCACCCCACUCAUCCAGACCGGCCUGGCUCCUGUACCCCCUCAGCUUUCAGUAGCACAAGCAGGACUAAAGAAGACUGAGCUGCAGGGCUAGAGCUUGCCCGGAGCUGUGGGUUCAAGACCAGAGCACAGCCUCCGGGUAGGACUCACACGCCCUCCUGGUCUUUGGUACCUGGGUGGGAUGUGGCGGAGACAUACUAAGGAGUUGCCAGACACGAACCUCCCAUCUGUUUAGUCCUCUCAACUAAAAUCAGAAUUCCUACUCAGCCCACUUUAACAUCAAGUCCGUUUAUUCAAAGUGUCAAGAACGAAGCAGUUAGGUAGUGGCGCUUGUGUGUUAUUAAAUUACUGAGCAAUUCUCAGUACUGAGAUCGUAUCAAAUGCAAUCAAAGCAAAUUAAUUCUAUUUCGAGUAUUUCUUUCCCCUCUUUAUGAUGUUCAGAAAUGUUUAAUGGUUUGGAUUUUGAAGUUUAACGAUAGGACUGAAAACCACAACUGUUAGGAGCUGCCACCUCCUCAACCACUUAGCUGCUCGCUAAGUGACUGGGCAGGAAACCUAACUUUCACACCUCUUGGGACAGGAAGCAAAAGAGAAGAAUUACUGGGCCUACAAAAGGGGAAGUGGAAGAAAGCCUGUGCGGAACUCAAAAAAUGAGCUUUAGGUCACGCACAUAUUUACAAUUUCAAAAACAGGUCAAAGUUGGCCCUGUUCCUGAGAAACGCAGAGGCUCUCUCCGCAGCUUGUUAAAACCAAAGCACAGACCACCCACUUUUGCUUAAAAGGAAAAGUGCUGAGGAAAUUUUUUGGGGGUGAUGAUAUCUUCAUUAUCCUGACUGCGGCGAUGGCUUCACCGGUAUUUACGAAUGUCAAAACUUAUCACUCUGUCUACUCUUAUGUGUGUGCAGUUUGAAUGUACGGCAAUACUUCUUCCAUAAAACUGUUAAGGAAAAGGGAAGCAUUAACCGAUAAAACAUCUCAAUAGCAGUGUGAGCAAGAGAGGACACACUUCAGGCUGCAGACAGCCAUCGGCUGCAUGUCCUUGAGUAAAACACAAGCGUGGACUCUGGAGUGGCAUGUGAUGGUGUGAGAUCCCGGCAGCUCAGGAACACGGCUUUAAUGAAUUCACAGGACGGCGGUAUUGUAAAGGCGCAGGUGACACCCUUCUUUUUAAAUUAUGUGCGCGUGAAGUUACAAAUGAGCCGGCUCAGCUCAAAUAAGGUUAAAAACGACUGCGUUACAACAGAGCGUGACGGGUAAGCACGUGAGGGGUGUUUAUUUGGGGAAUCUGAACUCUGGAUCAUUACAACAUGCUGUAAGCUACCGGUCCACCGAAAGAUACAGGUUCCUACAAUUCCACAGCUGAUAGGAGUCCCUGGGUGGUGCAAAAGGUUAAUGAGCUCAGCUGGUAACCCCAAAGAUUGGAGACUCAAGCACACCAAGAGGUGCCUCUGAAGAAGGGCCUGGCAAUCUACUUCCUAAAAAUGAGUCAUUGAAAACCCUAUGGAGCACAAUUGUACUCCAACAUAAGUGGGGUUGCCGUAAGUUGGAACUGACCCCAUGGCAACCGGUCGCAGUCAACAAGCCCAUACAAAUCCAUCAUCAGGACAAAAGGCAAAUGAGAGAGAACCUGGAAGUCGAGGGUGUGAAAAGAAACAAGAAGCCUGAGACAAGGUGAGUUUUUCCCUGUUCACCUAAAAAUAACUCUCAGAGGUCUUAACUUGGCCCACCCAACAUGGACUCAGAGUCAAAGGGAACUGAGCUGUGUCCUAAAGCCUCGUACCUGAAACACCAGAAUUCCUGUGUUGGCAACGGCCAGGUUGAUCUUAGUACCUUCCCUGUCCUUGGCCGGGUGCAGCCGGAUCCCGUACAUCUCCAGCCGACGGGCAAUCUCCAGGAGCUGGAAAUCAGACUCAGCCGGUGUUUGUCCGCUGACAAAACAAAAAGGAAAACAAAGGCCAGGAGAUUUGAAUUCCUUGCAUCUAUUAGUUUGAGAUUAAGCAGUUUCUCCUGGGAAAUAAAAAGGCAUUUCAAUUCACAAACAGUGAGGCUAACCGAUCAGAUGACACCUGACCUCCCGUUCCCUGCGACCCAACGUCUAACAGCUAGGACAAAAGCUCUAUUGCUUGUGAAACACAAAACCCCAGAAGUCUGUCUCCAAGUUGGCCAGUUUUUUGGAAUCUCAAAGAGCUCCCUCUAAGGUCAUAGAAAAGCAAAAUACCACUGUGUUAAAACAAGUUGUUAGUCACUCACAAUGAACACAAAUUUCUAAGCAAAGCUCAAGGCAACACAUCUAUCAUGUUAUCAGCAGGCACAAACAACAACACAGAGAAUCCUUUUAAAACGUUUUACUGAUUAGAACAAAACAACAAAAUGGAGAUGUUACAAAGGCUGAAGAGUCUUACCAUCUUACUUGGUCCCAGCUCCCCAUGCCCCAUGCCCCAUCUUUUCCUAAGAUGAUAACUGGGUGAUGGCUGGGUCUUACACUUUCCCAUUUAUUCCAAAGCCUGAGAUGGAGGCCCGGGUGAGGGCAGCUCUUGACAUAACAACUCUGGUCUCACACGAAAAUCAGCUGGGGGCCUGGAGCCUUCCCUGCAGUUCUGAGUGUCUAGGAAGGGCACUAGCAACCCAACGAGCCUCUGUGUGCUUCUCCCCUGCCCCUUGUGUUUCUUCACAAUGGUUUCUACAUGUCCACAAGUGUGUGCGUGUGUGUACACGCAUGUGUGUACACGCAUGUGUGUACCUAUAUAAACUGGGAGGGCAGAGAGAAACAGCUCAAUGGGAACAUAAGGCAACAAAUGAGACUUACAUGUGGUUAUGGUGAAACUCCACAAUUUUGUCUUCUAGUGCAUCUUGCUGAGGUAUGUACUUAUUUUUUGCUAAGUGUUCUCUGUCCAAUGCUUCGUCAAAAUCCCCAAUCUCAGCUAAGAAACACACAAAGAAAAAAAAACAAGAAAAUACUUUGUUAGCACUUCACAAUUUGUUAUGUCCCUGGUGGAAUAUCACUCAGCCAGCAAAUUAGAAGCCAGGUGAUAGAUAACAUGAGGAGAUCCCAGUUGGGGGAUAGCAUCAUAAGGGCUAGAUGUUAGAAGGUGCAGAUGCGAGUCCAAAAAAAAACCCCAAACCCACUGCCAUCCAGUCCAUUCUGACUCAUAGUGACCCUACAGCACAGAGCAGAACGGUCCCAUAGGGUCUCCAAGGCUGUAAAUCUUUACAGAAACAGACUGUAUCAUCUUUCUCCCAUGGAGCGGCUGGUGAGUUCAAACUGCCAAUCUUUUGGCUAGCAGUUGAGCAUUUAACCACUGUGCCACCAGGGCUCCUUACGAUGUGAGGGCAUAUUUAAUAAUUGUGGCAACGUAGGAAGACAGUUUUCACUCUCCUUAUUUCUAACACUUGGAAAGAAAACUUCAGAAUCGUCCAUCUUCAGCUGUCUGCGCCCUGCUGUGGGUCUUCCUCACCAUCUAACACCGACCGGGUCACUCCCCUUCUCCUCUGUAAAUUCUAUGCACGUGGAUUAUCACACUUCUUGACUUCUAACCAAGUCAUACUUUCCGGACUCUACAAAAUCAACUUUUAAAAUUCUUACAUACAAUAGUUAUUAAGCAAAAUACAAAUGCUUUAUCUUUUAUAGAAAAGAUGACUGUAAAUGGAUACAAAUGCAGACGAUUUAAUGUGGUGGAAAAAAAAACAAGCUGAAGGAGCUUAUUAAAUUUCCGGUACUCUCGUCAGAACCAGCUGGGACUAACAGGCCGUAGUUAAUGAUGAAUAUUAAAUUGAAGAACAGGAAGGAACAAGCUUAGUCUACUUUGCCAUCGUUUACCCGAGCUUCCCCCUCGAGACACUUGAACACCAACAAUUGCGUUGUAAAUGGUGAAUGAAGCAGGCAUCCAUGCUAAAACAACACAGUGGCAUUAUACUGGUUUGUGUGGAUGUGAUUUUUUCCCAUCAAAAAGACCGUUGUGUUAUUUCCAACAUGGCUUCUAAAGGAUGCCACCAGAACUUACAU